UACGAAGGGUGCAAGCGUUACUCGGAAUUACUGGGCGUAAAGCGUGCGUAGGUGGUUUGUUAAGUCUGAUGUGAAAGCCCUGGGCUCAACCUGGGAAUGGCAUUGGAUACUGGCGAGCUAGAGUGCGGUAGAGGGUAGUGGAAUUCCCGGUGUAGCAGUGAAAUGCGCAGAGAUCAGGAGGAACACCCGUAGCGAAGGCGGCACUCUGGGCCGAUACUGACACUGAGGAGCGAAAGCGUGGGGAGCGAACAGG
This 253-nucleotide ribosomal RNA is filed under the name uncultured bacterium. RNAcentral describes it as "partial 16S ribosomal RNA". It matches the Rfam family "Bacterial small subunit ribosomal RNA", at positions 524 to 776 of the family's 1533-position model. The record is from RNAcentral.